Molecule: ribosomal RNA, 466 nt
Filed under: uncultured bacterium
Lineage: Bacteria
Description: partial 16S ribosomal RNA
Rfam family: Bacterial small subunit ribosomal RNA
Source: RNAcentral
GAUGAACGCUGGCGGCGUGCUUAACACAUGCAAGUCGAACGAUGAAGCCCAGCUUGCUGGGUGGAUUAGUGGCGAACGGGUGAGUAACACGUGAGUAACCUGCCCUUAACUCUGGGAUAAGCCUGGGAAACUGGGUCUAAUACCGGAUAGGAGCGCCUACCGCAUGGUGGGUGUUGGAAAGAUUUAGCGGUUUUGGAUGGACUCGCGGCCUAUCAGCUUGUUGGUGGGGUAAUGGCUCACCAAGGCGACGACGGGUAGCCGGCCUGAGAGGGUGACCGGCCACACUGGGACUGAGACACGGCCCAGACUCCUACGGGAGGCAGCAGUGGGGAAUAUUGCACAAUGGGCGAAAGCCUGAUGCAGCGACGCCGCGUGAGGGAUGACGGCCUUCGGGUUGUAAACCGCUUUCGGUAGGGAAGAAGCGAGAGUGACGGUACCUGCAGAAGAAGCACCGGCUAACUACGUG